RNAcentral lists this transfer RNA (65 nucleotides) under Rattus norvegicus (Norway rat). It matches the Rfam family "tRNA". From Rfam's summary of the family: Transfer RNA (tRNA) molecules are approximately 80 nucleotides in length. Their secondary structure includes four short double-helical elements and three loops (D, anti-codon, and T loops). Lineage: Eukaryota; Metazoa; Chordata; Mammalia; Rodentia; Muridae. The record is from Rfam by way of RNAcentral.
GAGUUAGCUCAGUGGUAGAGCGCUUGCCUAGCAAGCGAAAGGCCCUGGGUUCGGUUCCCAGCUCA